CACCGACCAGUCCUCAGCCGGCAACAUGAAGCUGGGUGGCCUCUGCCUCCUGCUCCUCCUCGCCGUCCUUCUCACCCUCAAUGCAGAGUUCCAAGCAGUUGGUAUUUGUGUGAUGGAGUGCUACGUAGACCAGGACUGCAAGGAGGGAGAAGAAUGCCUCAGUGAUGGGUGUGGCCGUGGCUGCUACCCAGUCCUGCACACAGGGUUGAAAUGAUAAAGUCAGUCCACCAAUGGACAUAAUGGCUAAUGUUUAAGAGCUUAUGGCCAUCUUCUUAAACAAGAGGAUGCAUGAAAACCCUUCAUUUUUAAUAUUAAAUAUUAACAAGGAAGAUGCAAAAAGGAAUCCCAAGAAGAGGAAAAACAUAAAAAAUAAACUGACUACCUGUGCCUAUCUGCUCCUCGCCCCAUGUUCCCUGGAUUGUCGCUUCUCCUCGAGCCCCACCUGUCUCUAAGAAAGAGGGAGUGAUACUGACAUUACAUCAGAGUGGCACCACUGCCUGUGCAUCUCACCAUGAUCACCAGCAAAUCUGUGCCGGAUCUGGAGAGAAAGAAGAGAAGCAGUGGGCAGUGAGGUAUCUGCCUUCACCAUGAGGAAGUGACAAUCCAGGACCCAAGAAACGCUAUGUCAAUCUUUUUCACCCUGGGAAGGGGCCAGCAAGAAAUUGAUGGAGCUGUCAGUGCUCCGGACUACAGGGUAGGGCACAAGACAACCAAGGGAACGAGCGUUUCUUCUGUACCUGGAAUUUGUGUUUUGAAUUUCUGCCUCUGUCAUGUUCUCAGUCCCUAGCUCCAUCUUAAGGAAAUGUAGCUAUUGGAAGAGUGACCCUUUGGUGCCUCUCUUUUCGGGGAACUUGCUCUGGUCCACAGAGACAUUUCCCAGCAAGACACCACCUUCUGGACAGCACCCAAAGGGUGGGGCUCCUUGGGAGAACUGAGGGCAUCUGCCAUUGGCUCAACCUAGGAGCCAUCUGGACCUGACAUGUGCAUCUUGCUAAUGAUUGCAUUAGAUCUCAAUUUACCUAACUGAAAAUAGGUCCUAGUCCUCUUCUGCCUCAGAGAUCCUGACACUAGGAUAGAUAGAAUGUCUUGGGAAAUAGCUCAGAGCAUUGUGAGGAGUUCCUGUUGUGGCUCAGUAGGUUAAGAACCGGCAUAGUGUCUGUGAGGAUGUGGGUUCGAUCCUGGCCUCGCUCAAUGGGUUAAGGAUCUGGCAUUGUCGAAAGCUGUGGCGUAGGUUGCAGGUACAGCUCAGAUCCUGCAUUGUUGUGGCUGUGGCUGCAGCUGCAAUUCAAUUCCUAGUCCCAGGAGCUUCCAUAUGCUCCAGGUGCGGCCCUAUAAAGAAAAGAAUAAUAAUAUAUAAAAAUUGCACAC
This 1368-nucleotide long non-coding RNA is filed under the name Sus scrofa (pig). RNAcentral's name for it is "lncRNA (ENSSSCG00000057725.1)". The record is from RNAcentral. Lineage: Eukaryota; Metazoa; Chordata; Mammalia; Artiodactyla; Suidae.